GAUGAACGCUGGCGGCGUGCUUAACACAUGCAAGUCGAACGGUGAACACAGAGCUUGCUCUGUCGGAUCAGUGGCGAACGGGUGAGUAACACGUGAGCAACCUGCCCCGGACUCUGGGAUAACAGUUGGAAACAGCUGCUAAUACUGGAUACGAGCUGCGGAGGCAUCUUCAGCAGCUGGAAAGAAUUUCGGUCCGGGAUGGGCUCACGGCCUAUCAGCUUGUUGGUGAGGUAACGGCUCACCAAGGCGUCGACGGGUAGCCGGCCUGAGAGGGUGACCGGCCACACUGGGACUGAGACACGGCCCAGACUCCUACGGGAGGCAGCAGUGGGGAAUAUUGCACAAUGGGCGCAAGCCUGAUGCAGCAACGCCGCGUGAGGGACGACGGCCUUCGGGUUGUAAACCUCUUUUAGCAGGGAAGAAGCGAAAGUGACGGUACCUGCAGAAAAAGCGCCGGCUAACUACGUGCCAGCAGCCGCGGUAAUACGUAGGGCGCAAGCGUUAUCCGGAAUUAUUGGGCGUAAAGAGCUCGUAGGCGGUUUGUCGCGUCUGCUGUGAAAUCCCGAGGCUCAACCUCGGGCCUGCAGUGGGUACGGGCAGACUAGAGUGCGGUAGGGGAGAUUGGAAUUCCUGGUGUAGCGGUGGAAUGCGCAGAUAUCAGGAGGAACACCGAUGGCGAAGGCAGAUCUCUGGGCCGUAACUGACGCUGAGGAGCGAAAGGAUGGGGAGCAAACAGGCUUAGAUACCCUGGUAGUCCAUCCCGUAAACGUUGGGAACUAGUUGUGGGGACCAUUCCACGGUUUCCGUGACGCAGCUAACGCAUUAAGUUCCCCGCCUGGGGAGUACGGCCGCAAGGCUAAAACUCAAAGGAAUUGACGGGGACCCGCACAAGCGGCGGAGCAUGCGGAUUAAUUCGAUGCAACGCGAAGAACCUUACCAAGGCUUGACAUAUACGAGAACGGGCCAGAAAUGGUCAACUCUUUGGACACUCGUAAACAGGUGGUGCAUGGUUGUCGUCAGCUCGUGUCGUGAGAUGUUGGGUUAAGUCCCGCAACGAGCGCAACCCUCGUUCUAUGUUGCCAGCACGUAAUGGUGGGAACUCAUGGGAUACUGCCGGGGUCAACUCGGAGGAAGGUGGGGAUGACGUCAAAUCAUCAUGCCCCUUAUGUCUUGGGCUUCACGCAUGCUACAAUGGCCGGUACAAUGGGCGGCGAUACCGUAAGGUGGAGCGAAUCCCAAAAAGCCGGUCCCAGUUCGGAUUGAGGUCUGCAACUCGACCUCAUGAAGUCGGAGUCGCUAGUAAUCGCAGAUCAGCAACGCUGCGGUGAAUACGUUCCCGGGUCUUGUACUCACCGCC
Molecule: ribosomal RNA, 1357 nt
Filed under: uncultured bacterium
Lineage: Bacteria
Description: bacterial SSU rRNA
Rfam family: Bacterial small subunit ribosomal RNA
Source: RNAcentral